Molecule: ribosomal RNA, 515 nt
Filed under: uncultured bacterium
Lineage: Bacteria
Description: partial 16S ribosomal RNA
Rfam family: Bacterial small subunit ribosomal RNA
Source: RNAcentral
GAUGAACGCUGGCGGCGUGCCUAAUACAUGCAAGUCGAGCGAAUGGAUUAAGAGCUUGCUCUUAUGAAGUUAGCGGCGGACGGGUGAGUAACACGUGGGUAACCUGCCCAUAAGACUGGGAUAACUCCGGGAAACCGGGGCUAAUACCGGAUAAUAUUUUGAACUGCAUGGUUUAAAAUUGAAAGGCGGCUUCGGCUGUCACUUAUGGAUGGACCCGCGUCGCAUUAGCUAGUUGUUGAGGUAACGGCUCACCAAGGCAACGAUGAGUAGCCGACCUGAGAGGGUGAUCGGCCACACGGGGACUGAGACACGGCCCAGACGCCGACGGGAGGCAGCAGUAGGGAAUCUUCCGCAAUGGACGAAAGUCUGACGGAGCAACGCCGCGUGAGUGAUGAAGGCUUUCGGGUCGUAAAACUCUGUUGUUAGAGAAGAACAAGUGCUAGUUGAAUAAGCUGGCACCUUGACGGUACCUAACCAGAAAGCCACGGCUAACUACGUGCCAGCCGCCGCGGUAA